GCGAUUAGCUCAGUGGAUAGAGCGCUGGUCUCCGGAACCAGAAGCCGCAGGUUCGAAUCCUGCCAGGCGCGCCA
This 74-nucleotide transfer RNA is filed under the name Desulfobacteraceae bacterium. RNAcentral's name for it is "tRNA-Arg". It matches the Rfam family "tRNA". From Rfam's summary of the family: Transfer RNA (tRNA) molecules are approximately 80 nucleotides in length. Their secondary structure includes four short double-helical elements and three loops (D, anti-codon, and T loops). The record is from RNAcentral. Lineage: Bacteria; Pseudomonadati; Thermodesulfobacteriota; Desulfobacteria; Desulfobacterales; Desulfobacteraceae.